Molecule: ribosomal RNA, 116 nt
Filed under: Bemisia tabaci
Lineage: Eukaryota; Metazoa; Arthropoda; Insecta; Hemiptera; Aleyrodidae
Description: partial 16S ribosomal RNA
Source: RNAcentral
AAGAGUUAAUUGGGCGAACAGACCAAUUCCUAUAAAUUUUUCUUUAUAGAUUAUUCUUAAUCCAACAUCGAGGUCGCAAUAUAUUUUGUAAAUGAGAACUUUUCAAAAAUUUUGCG